This 574-nucleotide long non-coding RNA is filed under the name Homo sapiens (human). RNAcentral describes it as "non-protein coding lnc-ADAMTS9-2:1". Lineage: Eukaryota; Metazoa; Chordata; Mammalia; Primates; Hominidae. The record is from RNAcentral.
CACAGGUAGAGGGUGAGCUCUUUCUGUGUGGUAGCUAACUAUGUCCAAUGCAAGCAUUCCCUGCCAGGAGGAGGGUCUGCUGAAAAGAUGGAGAGCACUUAUGACAUCAUUUGAAUGCCAGAGUCCAGAGAGAACAAGUUUCUUCAAUCAACCCUUAUUUUUCUUUGCUGUGAGGACCAGGAAGGAACCAAUCUGUUUAAAAACUGUUGCCCGCUGGUGGCUCGUUGCCAGGUCUGAGAUAACACUGGUGGUCCCUCUGAGGGCUGAGGACGCAUUCCCCGGGUACUGCAAUCAGAGCAGACGCAUGUGCAGCUGUGGAUGGAGGGAGCUGACGUGUUCUCUCCGGGAGCAGAGGAGCAAAUGUCACGAGAAAAGCCCUUGAAAAUGGUUCUCAUCCCUUUCUCCAUCGCAGACAACCCAGAAUAAACUGUUCUGAAAUGUUGACGUUUAAUAAUAUUAAUAUUAGUAAUGGCUGGAAAGGGCUUCUGGUAAUGAGAUUCCAGGAUAAAUAGGUCACUGGGUUUUCAUUGCUUAUCAAUGAAGUUCCCAAAAAGAUCUUUUUUAAGGAAAUAGG